CCCCUCUCUGGGUCACACCUGGAGAGUUUCCAGUACUCUACCAGUCUCGUGGGAGGGAGAGUCAAGCAGAGGCGUAUCCAUUCCAUUCCUAGCUUGGGCAGUGGCUAGCGAGUUGAAGGCAAUCUGCUACAAGU
RNAcentral lists this small nucleolar RNA (134 nucleotides) under Ornithorhynchus anatinus (platypus). The record is from RNAcentral. Lineage: Eukaryota; Metazoa; Chordata; Mammalia; Monotremata; Ornithorhynchidae.